GGGUUUUUUUCCCUCCCUUUUCUUCCCGCCCUCUGCUUAUAUAACUGAAAUUAAACAGAAUUCGAAACAGAAACUCUGGAGGAUUUAGGGAAAGGGACGAGGCUGAAAGAGAUCCUUGCCCACCCGGCGUGAUCUCUCACCUUGUGAAAUAAGGUGUAAUGUAAUAAUAGGUCCAUUUUUAAAAGGGGAGAGCUAAGAGAAAUUUUUUCGUUCUUUCCCUGAACACCACACCAUUGUGUUCACUCACCCACCCGGUCCAGAGUAAAAAAAAAAUGGUGGGCGGGUAGCUGAGGAUCUGGCACAACCGCCGCCGCCAUGGGCGAAGACUAGGAAACAUCUUUAUACAGAUAUUUCAGGGAGCCCGCAAGGUCUACUGCCUCGUGUGCUGCCUGCAGGUCCCUAAAACCAAGGAGGACUGAAUAGGAGCCUGACCAUGUGGAGAAACAUCUGGCGAAGACAGAAGGCCGGCUCUGGCCAUUCCCCACAACCACCACCACCAUCUCCUCCAUCAUCCGCAGGGCGGGAGAGACGGAAGGAACCUUUUCGCCAGCAAUUUAAAAAAAUAAAAAA
Molecule: non-coding RNA, 570 nt
Organism: Pogona vitticeps (central bearded dragon)
Lineage: Eukaryota; Metazoa; Chordata; Lepidosauria; Squamata; Agamidae
Source: RefSeq, a predicted model, not a curated record